RNAcentral lists this ribosomal RNA (1085 nucleotides) under fungal endophyte. RNAcentral's name for it is "eukaryotic LSU rRNA". Lineage: Eukaryota; Fungi. The record is from RNAcentral.
GGUGACAGCGGAGGGAUCAUUAUAGAGUUUUCUAAACUCCCAACCCAUGUGAACUUACCUUUUGUUGCCUCGGCAGAAGUUAUAGGUCUUCUUAUAGCUGCUGCCGGUGGACCAUUAAACUCUUGUUAUUUUAUGUAAUCUGAGCGUCUUAUUUUAAUAAGUCAAAACUUUCAACAACGGAUCUCUUGGUUCUGGCAUCGAUGAAGAACGCAGCGAAAUGCGAUAAGUAAUGUGAAUUGCAGAAUUCAGUGAAUCAUCGAAUCUUUGAACGCACAUUGCGCCCAUUAGUAUUCUAGUGGGCAUGCCUGUUCGAGCGUCAUUUCAACCCUUAAGCCUAGCUUAGUGUUGGGAAUCUACUUCUCUUAGGAGUUGUAGUUCCUGAAAUACAACGGCGGAUUUGUAGUAUCCUCUGAGCGUAGUAAUUUUUUUCUCGCUUUUGUUAGGUGCUAUAACUCCCAGCCGCUAAACCCCCAAUUUUUUGUGGUUGACCUCGGAUCAGGUAGGAAUACCCGCUGAACUUAAGCAUAUCAAUAAGCGGAGGAAAAGAAACCAACAGGGAUUGCCUUAGUAACGGCGAGUGAAGCGGCAACAGCUCAAAUUUGAAAUCUGGCCCUUGGGUCCGAAUUGUAAUUUGUAGAGGAUGAUUUUGGUGCGGUAUCUUCCGAGUUCCUUGGAACAGGACGCCUUAGAGGGUGAGAGCCCCGUACGGUUGAAUGCCUAGCCUCUGUAAAUCUCCUUCGACGAGUCGAGUAGUUUGGGAAUGCUGCUCUAAAUGGGAGGUAAAUUUCUUCUAAAGCUAAAUAUUGGCCAGAGACCGAUAGCGCACAAGUAGAGUGAUCGAAAGAUGAAAAGCACUUUGAAAAGAGGGUUAAAUAGCACGUGAAAUUGUUGAAAGGGAAGGAUUUGUGACCAGACUUUUUCUGGGCGGAUCAUCCGGGGUUCUCUCCGGUGCACUUCGCCCAGUAAAGGCCAGCAUCGGUUUUCGGCGUGGGAUAAAAGCAGUAGGAAUGUGGCUCUCUAMRGGGAGUGUUAUAGCCUAUUGUAUAAUACCGCGCUGGGGACCGAGGUUCGCGCUUCUGCAAGGA